GAUGAACGCUAGCUACAGGCUUAACACAUGCAAGUCGCAGGGUAACAUGAGGAAAGCUUGCUUUCCUUGAUGACGACUGGCGCACGGGUGAGUAACGCGUAUCCAACCUUCCCAUAACUACGGGAUAACCCGUUGAAAGACGGCCUAAUACCGUAUGACAUCGUUUGCUGACAUCAAAUAACGUUUAAAGGUUUAGCGGUUAUGGAUGGGGAUGCGUCUGAUUAGCUUGUUGGCGGGGUAACGGCCCACCAAGGCGACGAUCAGUAGGGGUUCUGAGAGGAAGGUCCCCCACAUUGGAACUGAGACACGGUCCAAAAUCGUACGGGAGGCAGCAGUGAGGAAUAUUGGUCAAUGGGCGAGAGCCUGAACCAGCCAAGUAGCGUGCAGGAUGACGGCCCUAUGGGUUGUAAACUGCUUUUAUGUGGGGAUAAAGUGCGUGACGUGUCAUGCAUUGCAGGUACCAAAUGAAUAAGGACCGGCUAAUUCCGUG
RNAcentral lists this ribosomal RNA (490 nucleotides) under uncultured bacterium. RNAcentral describes it as "partial 16S ribosomal RNA". It matches the Rfam family "Bacterial small subunit ribosomal RNA", at positions 28 to 507 of the family's 1533-position model. The record is from RNAcentral.